RNAcentral lists this ribosomal RNA (425 nucleotides) under uncultured bacterium. Its description in RNAcentral is "bacterial SSU rRNA". It matches the Rfam family "Bacterial small subunit ribosomal RNA", at positions 356 to 773 of the family's 1533-position model. The record is from RNAcentral.
GGGGAAUUUUGGACAAUGGGCGCAAGCCUGAUCCAGCAAUGCCGCGUGCAGGAAGAAGGCCUUCGGGUUGUAAACUGCUUUUGUACGGAACGAAACGGUCUGGGUUAAUACCCUGGGCUAAUGACGGUACCGUAAGAAUAAGCACCGGCUAACUACGUGCCAGCAGCCGCGGUAAUACGUAGGGUGCAAGCGUUAAUCGGAAUUACUGGGCGUAAAGCGUGCGCAGGCGGUUUUGUAAGACAGGCGUGAAAUCCCCGGGCUCAACCUGGGAAUGGCGCUUGUGACUGCAAAGCUGGAGUGUGGCAGAGGGGGAUGGAAUUCCGCGUGUAGCAGUGAAAUGCGUAGAUAUGCGGAGGAACACCGAUGGCGAAGGCAAUCCCCUGGGCCUGCACUGACGCUCAUGCACGAAAGCGUGGGGAGCAAAC